Molecule: long non-coding RNA, 319 nt
Organism: Schistocerca serialis cubense
Lineage: Eukaryota; Metazoa; Arthropoda; Insecta; Orthoptera; Acrididae
Exons: 3
Source: RefSeq, a predicted model, not a curated record
CCGCGGCGCCGGCCACUAGCGCAGCCUCGCCCACGGCCACUGGCGCAGUCCCGGCUGGUGCUUCGCGUCCUCUGCUUCUCCUCCGCGCUUCCAGCUGUCCAGCAGCUGCCGCGCGCCGCCAGCGCUGCGCGACACUCCAGCAUCACGGGUGUUGGGGAACGUCUAGCACCUGAACCGGUCACGCCGCGUCACCCCUUCGAGCAGGACCAACUCAGGUACAGUACUGCUACGUAAGCGGUCACAGUCCUUAAUGUACGAUCGAACAUCGUCUACUCUGCUAUAUGGUUCUCCACUGUCGAUUCCCGAUCGUGAAAUGUAA